GGCUAGCACAGGUGCUGCAUGGCUGUCGUCAGCUCGUGUCGUGAGAUGUUCGGUUAAGUCCGCUAACGAGCGCAACCCUCGCUGUGUGUUAUAUGUGUCACAUGGGACUGCCGGCCUUAAGCCGGAGAAGGUGGGGAUGAUGUCAAGUCAGCAUGGCCUUUAUGUCCUGGGCUACACACACGCUACAAUGGUCAGCACAAUGGGUCGCUAAGCCGCAAGGUGGAGCCAAUCCUCAAAGUUGGCCUCAGUUCAGAUUGUAGGCUGCAACUCGCCUGCAUGAAGAUGGAGUUGCUAGUAAACGCAGGUCAGCUAUACUGCGUUGAAUACGUUCCCGGGGCUU
Molecule: ribosomal RNA, 340 nt
Filed under: uncultured Atribacterota bacterium
Lineage: Bacteria; Pseudomonadati; Atribacterota
Description: bacterial SSU rRNA
Rfam family: Bacterial small subunit ribosomal RNA
Source: RNAcentral